UAUUUAUUAGUUUAAAAAAAACAUUAUAUUUUCAAUAUAAAAUUAAAAUUUAUUUUAUAAAUAAUGAAAUUAUUUU
Molecule: transfer RNA, 76 nt
Filed under: Therioaphis tenera
Lineage: Eukaryota; Metazoa; Arthropoda; Insecta; Hemiptera; Aphididae
Description: tRNA-Glu
Source: RNAcentral